GACGAACGCUGGCGGCGUGCUUAACACAUGCAAGUCGAACGGAAAGGCCCUGCUUUUGUGGGGUGCUCGAGUGGCGAACGGGUGAGUAACACGUGAGUAACCUGCCCUUGACUUUGGGAUAACUUCAGGAAACUGGGGCUAAUACCGGAUAGGAGCUCCUGCUGCAUGGUGGGGGUUGGAAAGUUUCGGCGGUUGGGGAUGGACUCGCGGCUUAUCAGCUUGUUGGUGGGGUAGUGGCUUACCAAGGCUUUGACGGGUAGCCGGCCUGAGAGGGUGACCGGCCACAUUGGGACUGAGAUACGGCCCAGACGCCUACGGGAGGCAGCAGUGGGGAAUAUUGCACAAUGGGCGGAAGCCGGAUGCAGCAACGCCGCGUGCGGGAUGACGGCCUUCGGGUUGGAAACCGCUUUCGCCUGUGACGAAGCGUGAGUGACGGUAAUGGGGAAAGAAGCACCGGCUAACUACGU
RNAcentral lists this ribosomal RNA (467 nucleotides) under uncultured bacterium. RNAcentral's name for it is "partial 16S ribosomal RNA". It matches the Rfam family "Bacterial small subunit ribosomal RNA", at positions 28 to 506 of the family's 1533-position model. The record is from RNAcentral.